GAUGAAGAACGUAGCGAAAUGCGAUAAGUAAUGUGAAUUGCAGAGUUCAGUGAACCAUCGAAUCUUUGAACGCACAUUGCGCCCGCUGGAACUCCGGCGGGCACGCCUGUCCGAGCGUCAUUUCAACCCUCAGGCCCCCCUUCGCGGGCGGGCCUGGUGUUGGGGCCCGGCCGCUACCCUGCGGCCGUCCCCUAAAUUCAGUGGCGGCCUCGCCGUGAUCCCUUGCGUAGUAAUGCACCUCGCACCGGAGAGCGCCGUGGCCACGCCGUAAAACCCCCAAUUUUCAAUGGUUGACCUCGGAUCAGGUGGGAAUACCCGCUGAACUUAAGCAUAUCAAUAAGCGGAGGA
This 348-nucleotide unclassified non-coding RNA is filed under the name soil metagenome. RNAcentral describes it as "partial contains 5.8S ribosomal RNA, internal transcribed spacer 2, and large subunit ribosomal RNA". The stretch from base 1 to 120 matches the Rfam family "5.8S ribosomal RNA", at positions 35 to 154 of the family's 154-position model. The record is from RNAcentral.